GGCCUGGUGGCGGAACGGCUACGCGGCGGGCGUGCAAGCCCGAGGAUCCUUCGUUCGAUUCGAAGGCCAGGCCU
RNAcentral lists this transfer RNA (74 nucleotides) under Friedmanniomyces endolithicus. RNAcentral's name for it is "tRNA-Ala". The record is from RNAcentral. Lineage: Eukaryota; Fungi; Ascomycota; Dothideomycetes; Mycosphaerellales; Teratosphaeriaceae.